AGAAUCAACGCUGGCGGCGUGCCUAACACAUGCAAGUCGAACGCGAAAGCCCCGAAAGGGGUAAGUAGAGUGGCAAACGGGUGAGUAACACGUGGGUGACCUGCCUUCGAGCGGGGGAUAACGUCCCGAAAGGGACGCUAAUACCGCAUAACAUCCUGCCUUUGAAGAGGCGGAGAUCAAAGCUGGGGAUCGCAAGACCCGGCACUUGAAGAGGGGCCCGCGUCUGAUUAGCUAGUUGGUGGGUAAUGGCCUACCAAGGCAACGAUCAGUA
Molecule: ribosomal RNA, 271 nt
Filed under: uncultured bacterium
Lineage: Bacteria
Description: partial small subunit ribosomal RNA
Rfam family: Bacterial small subunit ribosomal RNA
Source: RNAcentral